UCUGUCUGUUCUGUUUACAUUGUUGUAUGUUUCGUUGUGGCCUAAAUUAAAAGUAGGAUUACUAAAGUUGAUAUUGGUGUUGACAUUCAUUCCUUUCAUAGCUAAACACCUUAGGAUAGCAUUGUAAUAAUAUAAAGCACUUAAUUCAAUUAUUUCUACCAUUGUAACUGCAAUUAACCUAAACUGCAUCCUGGUCGUGCAGCCUGCGCACCUGCAGAUUUGUCUUCAGUGCAGUUGGCGGGUUCGGCAGCGGUGUCCCGUGGACGCUGCUUGCGCUGUCUCGGCGGCUGCUGCGUGGUCUGUGCGGUUGGCGGCUGGAUUGCAUACCGCUCGUUCAACUGAAGAAGAGAGGUUGGGAUUGUCCGAGGGGUCAAUGCCUGAUGACCAAGUCAAAGAAGUUAGAAAGUGUUUCUUCUUAACAAUCUGUGGACUGUAAGCCCAACUUGGAAGAAGCUGAGAAUGACAGUGGACCUGAUGCUGAUGAGACAUAUUACCCACUGACCGACCACAUAACAAUGAUGACAAGAAAGAAAGAGGAGACGGCAUCCCAGUCUCCCUCGCUCCGCACCAUGGCUUGUAUCAGUGCCGGACGCGAGAGGGCGCCGUCGCCAACCACAUCCCUGAGGAGACAGCGGUGCUCAGCCCACGCAGGGCAGACCGCAAGCGUAUGUUCCACCGUGUCCUCCAGGCGGUCUUCGCAGUGAUGACACCCGGGUGAUUCCUCUCGCCCAAUCAGAAACAGGAACCUACCGAAACUCCCGUAUCCGAACAGCACCGACACCGUGGUCAGAACCAUCUGUCAUGAUGGCGAGGCGACUGCUGUGAACCGGAUGUGAGAGUGAUGCUUUGGCGGCAUUUCUCAAAGGCUGUGGAGCUGGCUGGAGAAUGGUUUCUGGUUUCGGGGAGGCGCUAUAUCGUGGUGUUCCCGCAAACAGCAGGCCUUGUCCACAGCCGAUGCGGAGUACAUGGCCAUGGGAAGCGCGGCGCAAAAAGCUCUCUAGCUACGGCGGCUGCAGGCUGAAGUUUGGCGCGGCUCCGACACCCUGCUCAUUUAUACUGCGACAACCAGAGCGCCAUCAAGUUAUCCGCUAAUGAUUUUUACUUACCUCGCUCAUAUAGAUAUUAAAUACCGCUUUAUUAAAGAUUAUAUAAUAAAUAAUAACUUAAAGUUUUAUUAUAUUAAGGGUUGUGAAAAUGUAUCAGAUAUUUUAACCAAGGGAACUACUGUAGAAAACAUAUGUAUUGUGUCACUAAUAUGGGUUUGGGUUCCGGAGAGGACGUAAGAAAUAUUGGUAGAAUUGGAACACAACCGGAGUAAUUCCAAUAA
Long non-coding RNA from Spodoptera frugiperda (fall armyworm), 1327 nucleotides. RefSeq lists it as uncharacterized. The record is from RefSeq and is a predicted model, not a curated record. The transcript has 6 exons. NCBI's taxonomy places the organism in Eukaryota, Metazoa, Arthropoda, Insecta, Lepidoptera, Noctuidae.